RNAcentral lists this ribosomal RNA (468 nucleotides) under uncultured bacterium. Its description in RNAcentral is "partial 16S ribosomal RNA". It matches the Rfam family "Bacterial small subunit ribosomal RNA", at positions 28 to 507 of the family's 1533-position model. The record is from RNAcentral.
GACGAACGCUGGCGGCGUGCUUAACACAUGCAAGUCGAACGGAAAGGCCCUGCUUUUGUGGGGUGCUCGAGUGGCGAACGGGUGAGUAACACGUGAGUAACCUGCCCUUGACUUUGGGAUAACUUCAGGAAACUGGGGCUAAUACCGGAUAGGAGCUCCUGCUGCAUGGUGGGGGUUGGAAAGUUUCGGCGGAUGGGGAUCGACUCGCGGCUUAUCAGCUUGUUGGUGGGGUAGUGGCUUACCAAGGCUUUGACGGGUAGCCGGCCUGAGAGGGUGACCGGCCACAUUGGGACUGAGAUACGGCCCAGACUCCUACGGGAGGCAGCAGUGGGGAAUAUUGCACAAUGGGCGGAAGCCUGAUGCAGCAACGCCGCGUGCGGGAUGACGGCCUUCGGGUUGUAAACCGCUUUCGCCUGUGACGAAGCGUGAGUGACGGUAAUGGGUAAAGAAGCACCGGCUAACUACGUG